RNAcentral lists this ribosomal RNA (465 nucleotides) under uncultured bacterium. RNAcentral's name for it is "partial 16S ribosomal RNA". It matches the Rfam family "Bacterial small subunit ribosomal RNA", at positions 338 to 795 of the family's 1533-position model. The record is from RNAcentral.
CCUACGGGUGGCAGCAGUAGGGAAUCUUCCACAAUGGGCGAACGCCUGAUGGAGCAACGCCGCGUGGGUGAAGAAGGUCUUCGGAUCGUAAAACCCUGUUGUUAGAAAAGAAAGUGCGUGAGAGUACCUGUUCACGUUUCGACGGUAUCUAACCACAAAGCCACGGCUAACUACGUGCCAGCAGCCGCGGGAAUACGUCGGAGGCAAGCGUUAUCCGUAUUUAUUGGGCGUAAAGGGAACGCAGGCGGUCUUUUAAGUCUGAUGUGAAAGCCUUGGGCUUAACCGGAGUAGUGCAUUGGAUGCGGGGAGACUUGAGUGCAGAAGAGGAGAGUGGAACUCCAUGUGUAGCGGUGAAAUGCGUAGAUAGAUGGAAGAACACCAGGGGCGAAAGCGGCUCUCUGGACUGUAACUGACGCUGAGGUUCGAAAGCGUGGGUAGCAAACAGGAUGAGAUACCCCAGUAGUC